UACGUAGGGUGCAAGCGUUGAUCGGAAUUACUGGGCGUAAAGCGUGCGCAGGCGGUUUUGUAAGUCUGUCGUGAAAGCCCCGGGCUCAACCUGGGAAUUGCGAUGGAGACUGCAAGGCUUGAAUCUGGCAGAGGGGGGUAGAAUUCCACGUGUAGCAGUGAAAUGCGUAGAGAUGUGGAGGAACACCGAUGGCGAAGGCAGCCCCCUGGGUCAAGAUUGACGCUCAUGCACGAAAGCGUGGGGAGCAAACAGG
This 253-nucleotide ribosomal RNA is filed under the name uncultured bacterium. RNAcentral's name for it is "partial 16S ribosomal RNA". It matches the Rfam family "Bacterial small subunit ribosomal RNA", at positions 524 to 776 of the family's 1533-position model. The record is from RNAcentral.